UACGUAGGGCCCGAGCGUUAUCCGGUAUUAUUGGGGCGUAAAGAGUACGUAGGCGGUUAUGCAAGACAAUGGUUAAAAUCUCCGAGCUCAACUCGGAACGUGCCGUUGUGACUACAUAACUUGUCGAUAGCAGGGGCAAGCAGAAUUGUCGGUGUAGGAGUGAAAUCCGUUGAGAUCGACAAGAAUACCAAUGGCGAAGGCAGCUUGCUAGGCUAUUUGAGACGCUGAGGUACGAAAGCGUGGGUAGCGAACGGG
RNAcentral lists this ribosomal RNA (255 nucleotides) under uncultured bacterium. RNAcentral describes it as "partial 16S ribosomal RNA". It matches the Rfam family "Bacterial small subunit ribosomal RNA", at positions 524 to 776 of the family's 1533-position model. The record is from RNAcentral.